CAACCAUUAUAUGAUUUGCAUGUUAUAUCAUUAAGGGUAAUUAAGUAAUUUGGUAUUUAAGUUAAUAAAAUUAAAACAAAACAAAUGAAAUUCAUUUUGUUCAUCUUAGUUGACCGAAUUUGAAGAAGGAGAAGCCAUUAAAAUACCUUGAACAUUCGACCAUUUGCAUGAUUCAUUAAUCAAGAAAAACAGAAUUCGGACCUAGAUCGGGGGAAACCGAAAGUUAUCGACUAAACGACUCAAUUCGCAGUUUUAGCAUCCCAGAUUUUGAAAGCUAGCUUGAGUUCGGGGAUCAUCCAGGAACAUCGUCAUUUUAUCGAUCGUUAUUUCGGUACCUUAUAAGUUUGUACUUUCGACUUAUGGCAUGUAUAGACUAGUUUCGAUAUGGUAUAUUUUGAUUAGUGUAUAUAUAUAGCCAUGUGAAAAUGGCUCAAUAAUACUGUUAAUGUUUGUGAAUAUUAUGCCAUGAAUUGAGCUCAUUUUAGAAGUAUGUUAUAUAGUAUAUAAUUGUGUGAUAAUAAGGAUGUCCAAAUAAGUUUGCUGA
Long non-coding RNA from Gossypium raimondii (Peruvian cotton), 544 nucleotides. RefSeq lists it as uncharacterized. NCBI's taxonomy places the organism in Eukaryota, Viridiplantae, Streptophyta, Magnoliopsida, Malvales, Malvaceae. The transcript has 3 exons. The record is from RefSeq and is a predicted model, not a curated record.